This 242-nucleotide long non-coding RNA is filed under the name Mytilus galloprovincialis (Mediterranean mussel). Lineage: Eukaryota; Metazoa; Mollusca; Bivalvia; Mytilida; Mytilidae. The record is from RNAcentral.
AAUAAAAAGAAAAUUUCUUCAAACAUUUUUUUGAGAGUAUUAAUAUUCAACAUCAUAGUGAAUUGCUCAAAGGCAAAACAAAAAUUUUAAGUUCAUUAGACCACAUUCAUUCUGUGUCAGAAACCUAUGCUGUGUCAACUAUUUAAUCACAAUCCAAAUUUAAAGCUGAAUCCAGCUUGAAUGUUGUGUCCAUACUUGCCCCAACCGUUCAGGGUUCAACCUCUGUGGUCAUAUAAAGCUGC